This 303-nucleotide ribosomal RNA is filed under the name uncultured bacterium. Its description in RNAcentral is "partial 16S ribosomal RNA". It matches the Rfam family "Bacterial small subunit ribosomal RNA", at positions 507 to 807 of the family's 1533-position model. The record is from RNAcentral.
AGCAGUCGCCGCGGGAAUACAGAGGGUGCGAGCGUUAAUCGGAUUUACUGGGCGUAAAGCGUGCGUAGGCGGCUUCUUAAGUCGGAUGUGAAAUCCCUGAGCUUAACUUAGGAAUUGCAUUUGAUACUGGGAAGCUAGAGUAUGGGAGAGGAUGGUAGAAUUCCAGGUGUAGCGGUGAAAUGCGUAGAGAUCUGGAGGAAUACCGAUGGCGAAGGCAGCCAUCUGGCCUAAUACUGACGCUGAGGUACGAAAGCAUGGGGAGCAAACAGGAUUAGAUACCCCUGUAGUCCCUGUCUCUUAUAC